UUGACGGGGGCCCGCACAAGCGGUGGAGCAUGUGGUUUUAAUUCGAUGAUACGCGAGGAACCUUACCUGGGCUCAAAUGUAUGUUUGACGUAUUCUGAAAGGGAUACUUCUUCGGACAAUAUACAAGGUGCUGCAUGGUUGUCGUCAGCUCGUGCCGUGAGGUGUCGGGUUAAGUCCCAUAACGAGCGCAACCCCUACCUUUAGUUGCCAUCAGGUUAAGCUGGGGACUCUAAAGGAACUGCCUACGCAAGUAGUGAGGAAGGCGGGGAUGACGUCAAAUCAGCACGGCCCUUACGUCCAGGGCUACACACGUGCUACAAUGGCCGGUACAAAGGGCAGCUACCUGGUGACAGGAUGCUAAUCUCAAAAGCCGGUCUCAGUUCGGAUCGGAGUCUGCAACCCGACUCCGUGAAGCUGGAAUCACUAGUAAUCGUGAAUCAGAAUGUCACGGUGAAUACGUUCCCGGGCCUU
This 471-nucleotide ribosomal RNA is filed under the name uncultured Sphingobacteriales bacterium. RNAcentral's name for it is "bacterial SSU rRNA". It matches the Rfam family "Bacterial small subunit ribosomal RNA", at positions 910 to 1382 of the family's 1533-position model. The record is from RNAcentral. Lineage: Bacteria; Pseudomonadati; Bacteroidota; Sphingobacteriia; Sphingobacteriales.